RNAcentral lists this ribosomal RNA (239 nucleotides) under uncultured Lactobacillus sp. Its description in RNAcentral is "partial 16S ribosomal RNA". It matches the Rfam family "Bacterial small subunit ribosomal RNA", at positions 125 to 355 of the family's 1533-position model. Lineage: Bacteria; Bacillati; Bacillota; Bacilli; Lactobacillales; Lactobacillaceae. The record is from RNAcentral.
CCGUAGCCCAAGAGAUCGGGAUAACACCUGGAAACAGAUGCUAAUACCGGAUAACAACAGAUGAUGCCUAUCAACUGUUUAAAAGAUGGUUCUGCUAUCACUCUUGGAUGGACCUGCGGUGCAUUAGCUAGUUGGUAGGGUAACGGCCUACCAAGGCGAUGAUGCAUAGCCGAGUUGAGAGACUGAUCGGCCACAUUGGGACUGAGACACGGUCCAAACUCCUACGGGAGGCAGCAGCU